RNAcentral lists this ribosomal RNA (120 nucleotides) under Flavobacterium johnsoniae. The record is from RNAcentral. Lineage: Bacteria; Pseudomonadati; Bacteroidota; Flavobacteriia; Flavobacteriales; Flavobacteriaceae.
UUAAGGUGGUUAUUGCGGCGGGGCUCACCUCUUCCCAUCCCGAACAGAGAAGUUAAGCCCGCCUGCGCAGAUGGUACUGCAGUUUUGUGGGAGAGUAUGUCGUCGCCUUUCUUUUAAGAA